AUGGCUCUUGGCAACAACCUCCCUCAGUCCUGAAGGUGCUCUGCUGUGUGAUGGAUUUCACACAGACACUGGGACAGCCCUGAAAGAGGUCCAGGUCACUUCUGCUUUUCACCUUGUGUUCCUCUAAGCUCUUAGAACUUUUACUUUUCUGCACAAUUAUUGUUCUCUAUCUUGAGGUAAGAAUCCCACCUGCAGCAGAAGUAAAGAAACAUGUUUUUCAACUUGAAAUAAAGCAGGAAAUACUCUUGUGGUGCUUUUGUUGUAUUUUAUUUCUUUUCUAGGAAAGAAAUGAAAUUACUACCCUUCGGUAGUAAUGGAGCCAGCAUCGAACAACGCAGGGGAAGGAGAAGAACAUGGUGUCAUGAUGAAUGAGUCCGAAGAUGCUGCAGCAGAGAUGGGCACUCAGGCACUGACGGUGAAACUUGCCAAGUUGGAAGUGAGCAGGAACCAACUGAAGAAAUGCAGACCUUCUCAAGAUCAGCCUGCGUCAGCAGGAGGCACAGCUUCUGACAUGCCACUGGGCUUUCUCUUUAAGGUUGAAGUUCUGCAUGAUUUUGAGGCAGCUAACGGUGACCAGCUUAAUUUGAAUGGAGGGGAUAUUGCACUAGUAAUUCCUUCUGAGACCACAGCUGAUCAGGUAACAACAACAUGAUUACUUAUUUCUUUUGCUAAUGUUUCCUUUUGUCUCAGUUUCCUUCUCACUCUUUAGAGUUAAUUUGAAAUGUUGGUUCAAAACAUCUUUACUGUUAGAAAACACCAGCAUUCUUAUUUUGCCCUUGUACUUGGUUUGAUUUGUGACCAAGCAGCACAGCUAACUAAGCUGAAGUCCCAGGUAUGUACUGCCAGCAGGAUCCAACUUCAGUCCAUUUUUCUAGGGCACUUUUAUGUUGCUUUGUAGUGAAUUUUAUACAGGCUUACAUACAGGCACAGGCUGAAUACAGAAGACGGCUUACAAAUUGUGCAUCCUGCUAUCAUGUUGUUGUAACACUGGGUCAGAACUGACUGUAUUUCCCCACACGUUCAGAGUUUUACAUGGAGAUCAGGAGAAAUAUGCAUUUGCCCAGAGAGAGCACUGAGACUGCACACCAACAGUUCUGUCCUGCAGCCCAAUGGCACAGAGGUGUUCCUGCAUGUCCUGUGUGCCUCUUGGGACCUGAGCCUCACAGCUGUGCUCCUGAGCUGCACCAGCAAUCGCUUUGUCUUUGGUGCAAGAACCCAACAGUUCAGUGUCAUUUAAGAUGCUUUAUUUUGUUUUAACAGUGUGUUUCAGGUUAAUUUUUAAACGAUUUGAUUCCACACGUUAUGUUGAUUUGCAGUCAAGUGAAUGAAUUUUUUACCUCCUCUUUAAGAGCAGCCCAUCUUGUACAAUUCGUACGAGCCACUUUGUGGCUGCAGUGGCAGAAAGCGUUGAUGAAAAGCAUCCCAUUGAACUGGGGGCUGGGAGGUUGGGCUCUGGACCUGCACAGUGAGACAGCCAGGUCUCUGCUCCGAAUGAAGAGCAGUUCUUCAAACAUGCCCAAAUGCUGUCAGCGCGUGUUUGGAGAGCCAGAGACUGUUUGUUAUCUAAGCUGAACUCUCUCUUAAUACAAGAGACAAGUAAUUGCUUUGGUUUUUGAUUCUUUUUUAUUGUUGUUUCUGAAUAAAAGAUUAUUUUAUUUUCCUUUUCACUGGGACACUUUGUUAUUUUGUAGGGACAGAUCCUCUUAUGCUUACUCAAACUGUGCUGCGUCUCACCUCUUGGGCUGUUCAGCUGAGUUCAUUGUCAGUAUUUGCAGGAUCUACUCUAAGGAUAUAAAAAUAGGCUGUCCUCAGUUAUUUUUUCUUAUCAUGUUUUGUAUUAAAUCUAUAUAACUUUCCCUUGGUGAAUCCAUUGAUUGUUUUUCUCUUGUGGUGUGCAUCCAAAUCCCAUUAGCGUUCAUUGGAGUGAAUCGUGUGCAGUGAUGGAGAAAAUGAAGCCCCAUGUAUUCGUGUUGCUGAGAUCAUUCUGCUCAUAUCUUUAUUACUCAGUGCAUAUUUGCCCUUUGUGUUUCACAUCACCUAGAACUCAAUUUUUCUCUCUUACCAGAUAAUUUGUUGAUUUCAGAGAGUAUUUGAUCUUGGUUCUUUCUUCUCCUGCAAAAUUGAUCUAAGACCAUCAUUCUGAGAUAGCUGGUGCUGUCAGCCUGUGCUCCCUGUGCAAAGCCAACUCAUCCCAGCCAGUGACUCCAACUUUUAUCCGUAAUUAUUGAGUUGAAGUCAUCAUCCAUUACAGCUUCAGUCCUGAGCAGAAUCUACUCUGUCCAUGGUAGAAAACUUCAGUUCCCCCACCUCAGGUUUUCCAAAAGGAGGCUGCUUGACAGGCAUUAAGGAAUCUGAGUGGCUUCAGCACAGAGAUGCGAAUGGUUAUAAAGGACUUUUCCCAGAGAACUUCACACGCCAUCUGGAACAGUUCUUCUCACAGGCACACGAAUGUGGUUUGAAGCUCAGUCAGUGGGUUCUUCACCUUGAAACACAGGAGCCCCCUUUUUUUGUAGUUCAGGCUGUUAAUGGUUUACAGAUUGGUUGCUUGUUGAAGCGUAUCAAAAUGAGCAUGAGUGCAAGCAGUUAAGCUAGCCAUUUCUGAAGCAGUGUGUGAAAAAAAAAUCAAAUACAAACAGAAAUGUCCUCAUUUGUUCACAUGCACGUGGCAACAGGUUUGUUUGUGCUUUGCCAGAGCUGUGGUGAUCCUGUGUUUGGUCCUUUCCCAUGAAAUCCAAAAUUAGCCUCCUUGGUAGCAAAACCUGAACUUGUCUGCACUCAGUGCAUCGUAUUGAGUUGCACUGCAGAAAACUUAAUUAGUAAUCCUGUAGUAAUGAGGUCAAACUAUUACAAGUUUCACUUGUUUAAAAAAUAUCAUUAACUGCUGCAAUGUUUUCCAGUGUUACUUGGAUGUGUGUCUGCAGGUGCAUGUGGGUAUGUGUGCAUCUCAGCAAUGUCAUGCAGUGCUGUGGCUGUGCAGUGCCAUCAGGGCAUGCAUUGCUCUCCCACUGUCUGGCAUUCCAGACAACAGUUUUGUUCCAAAGCAGAACCAGCUGCUCCAUUGCCAAAGCAUUGCACAGCGUCCGUGUGAGUGAGGUGAGGUUUUCAUUCUGAGAUGAUGAAUGGCAUCGUUUUCAAAGCUGCUGAACCUUUGAGAAGGCAUGGCUCGGUUUCCUCUUCCGGCUGCAGUAGUUACAGUGAGGUAAUCUGGAAGGGGAACUGUUAUGAUGCUCAUCUAUACUUUUUUAUUUAGUUGGCUGAAUAAAAAAAAACACGACAAAGUUAAUCUCUGAGAAAUAAACAUCUUUUCACAAUAAUAUUUAUGCAGCGCACCUUACAGAUCCUUUUAAAUUAAGGUACAUAAUGUAUGCUGUAUCAAAAAGUCACCUGUAACUUCUGUUUUCCAGUGCUGUGUCAUUAAAAAUAAACCUGUGAUCCACAGA
This is an RNA transcript of Tympanuchus pallidicinctus (lesser prairie-chicken), 3440 nucleotides long. It is a transcript of the gene named amphiphysin-like, with no coding region annotated. The transcript is spliced from 3 exons. NCBI's taxonomy places the organism in Eukaryota, Metazoa, Chordata, Aves, Galliformes, Phasianidae. The record is from RefSeq and is a predicted model, not a curated record.